Molecule: non-coding RNA, 108 nt
Filed under: Bigelowiella natans
Lineage: Eukaryota; Cercozoa; Chlorarachniophyceae
Source: RNAcentral
AGAUUUGCAUAGACAUCUGGAAAGGAUGAUUUCAACAAGAAAUAAGUAAUAAUCCUCACUUAAAACGCAUCAAAAUUAAGAAUGCUUGAUCUUUUCCAAUUUUUUUUU